Molecule: non-coding RNA, 85 nt
Filed under: Protocruzia adhaerens
Lineage: Eukaryota; Ciliophora; Spirotrichea
Source: RNAcentral
AACAAACACAGGGAAGAAAAGAAAGAAACAAAAGGGAAAAGACAAGACCGACCUCCCUUCCAUACUUGUCCGUGUUUUAUUUUGU